GCCGAUGCAACUGAUGACAUAACUUUUUUCCCCAUCAGAUCGACCCUGUUGAUCUACAUAACCAUCAGCCAGUUUGGUCUGAUGCAUGGGC
Molecule: small nucleolar RNA, 91 nt
Organism: Cavia porcellus (domestic guinea pig)
Lineage: Eukaryota; Metazoa; Chordata; Mammalia; Rodentia; Caviidae
Gene: SNORD12
Product: small nucleolar SNORD12/SNORD106
Source: Ensembl